CACACUAAAAAAAACACACAAAAUUAUAAAAUUGAAAACAAACAUAACAAAAUAAAACAAUGAGAAAAUGAUAUUAAUCUUUAGGAUCAUGUAAAGUAAUGGACUCUUCUAAUCUAGAGAAAUUCUCAAAAAAUGGUUUCAAACGUUGUCCAUUAACUUUAAAAAUAUUUCCAUUACUUGGAUUUUCAAUUUCUACAGCUCCAUGUGGGUAAACAGUUUUAACAAUGAAAGGACCAGUCCACUUGGAGCGUAAUUUUCCAGGAAAUAAAUGUAACCUUGAGUUGUACAAAAGAACUUUUUGGGAAGGCUCAAAAGUUUUUCUAACAAUGUUUUUAUUAUGGAAUACCUUCAUUCUUUCCUUAUAAAUUCGAGAGUUCUGAUAAGCUUCAUUCCUGAUUUCUUCCAACUCAUUCAAUUGAAGUUUUCUAAGUGAACCUGCCUCAUCUAAACCAAAAUUAAACAUUUUAAUAGCCCAAAAUGCUUUGUGUUCCAAUUCAACAGGUAAAUGACAAGGCUUUCCAAAAACAAGUCGAUAAGGUGACAUACCAAGGGGUGUUUUGAAAGCUGUACGAUAAGCCCAAAGAGCAUCAGUUAAUCGUAAAGACCAAUCUUUUCUAUUUGGAUUCACUGUUUUUUCCAAAAUGCAUUUAAUCUCUCUAUUUGCAAGUUCAGCUUGACCACUAGUGUUUGGGUGAUACGGAGUAGACACUUUAUGAGUAAG
Molecule: long non-coding RNA, 721 nt
Filed under: Olea europaea subsp. europaea
Lineage: Eukaryota; Viridiplantae; Streptophyta; Magnoliopsida; Lamiales; Oleaceae
Source: RNAcentral